AACGCACAUUGCGCCCUCUGGUAUUCCGGGGGGCAUGCCUGUUCGAGCGUCAUUAAAACUACUCAAGCUAAGGUUUUUACCUUCUGCUUGGUCUUGGGUUUGAGGAUUCAAAAUCCUCUCUCCGAAAUCCAGUGGCGAAUUGUUUGAGCUGUAGACGUAGUAAAACAUUCUACCCGUUGCAAGCGAGAAUAAUAUUCAGCCAUAACCCCCAUACUUUUCUAGUUUGACCUCGGAUCAGGUAGGGAUACCCGCUGAACUUAA
RNAcentral lists this unclassified non-coding RNA (261 nucleotides) under uncultured Pyronemataceae. RNAcentral describes it as "sequence contains ITS2". The stretch from base 1 to 52 matches the Rfam family "5.8S ribosomal RNA", at positions 103 to 154 of the family's 154-position model. The record is from RNAcentral. Lineage: Eukaryota; Fungi; Ascomycota; Pezizomycetes; Pezizales; Pyronemataceae.